Molecule: long non-coding RNA, 258 nt
Filed under: Rattus norvegicus (Norway rat)
Lineage: Eukaryota; Metazoa; Chordata; Mammalia; Rodentia; Muridae
Description: long non-coding RNA NONRATT030483
Source: RNAcentral
UUGAGUCUUCUCAGCUCUGUGACUACAUCAAUGACCCCAACAUGACUCGGCCUGUGGAUGACAUUCCGGACCGGCCAGCUGGGGUUGGAGUUUACACAGCCAUGUGGCAGCUGGCCUUGGCACUGAUCUUCAAAAUAGUCAUUACUAUAUUUACCUUUGGCAUGAAGGUAAGUGAAGCAGAAAGAAGGGGAAGUGUGUAUGUUUUUUGGGGUGCAGCAAAUUAUUUUCCAAAUAAAAUUAUGAUUCAAAGAAGAGAAA